CCUACGGGAGGCAGCAGUGAGGAAUAUUGGUCAAUGGACGAGAGUCUGAACCAGCCAAGUAGCGUGAAGGAUGACUGCCCUAUGGGUUGUAAACUUCUUUUAUAUGGGAAUAAAACGUUCCACGUGUGGGAUUUUGUAUGUACCAUAUGAAUAAGGAUCGGCUAACUCCGUGCCAGCAGCCGCGGUAAUACGGAGGAUCCGAGCGUUAUCCGGAUUUAUUGGGUUUAAAGGGAGCGUAGGUGGAUUGGUAAGUCAGUUGUGAAAGUUUGCGGCUCAACCGGAAAAUUGCAGUUGAAACUGGCAGUCUUGAGUACAGUAGAGGUGGGCGGAAUGCGUGGUGUAGCGGUGAAAUGCUUAGAGAUCACGAAGAACUCCGAUUGCGAAGGCAGUUCACUGGACUGCAACUGACACUGAGGCUCGAAAGUGUGGGUAUCAAACAGGAUUAGAUACCCGAGUAGUC
This 460-nucleotide ribosomal RNA is filed under the name uncultured bacterium. RNAcentral's name for it is "partial 16S ribosomal RNA". It matches the Rfam family "Bacterial small subunit ribosomal RNA", at positions 338 to 795 of the family's 1533-position model. The record is from RNAcentral.